AGAAGAUAUCCUCUGAUCUGAAGCUGUUAAAAUGGGAAGCAAAAACAUAAAUCAACCCGAACUUCUAUAUAUAAGGAAUCUUUCUUGAAAAUGCUUACCAUAAAAACAACAUAUAAUAAUAAGUGCUUUUAAUAUUUUUCGAUAAUUAACAGAAACAAGAAUAGUUAUCGGAAAACAGUUGAUUAAACCAAGUGAACAUAAGCAUAAACUUACCGUACUA
This 220-nucleotide unclassified non-coding RNA is filed under the name Hevea brasiliensis (rubber tree). Lineage: Eukaryota; Viridiplantae; Streptophyta; Magnoliopsida; Malpighiales; Euphorbiaceae. The record is from RNAcentral.